This 922-nucleotide ribosomal RNA is filed under the name Cellulosimicrobium sp. RNAcentral describes it as "bacterial SSU rRNA". It matches the Rfam family "Bacterial small subunit ribosomal RNA", at positions 60 to 994 of the family's 1533-position model. Lineage: Bacteria; Bacillati; Actinomycetota; Actinomycetes; Micrococcales; Promicromonosporaceae. The record is from RNAcentral.
AGUCGAACGAUGAUGCCCAGCUUGCUGGGUGGAUUAGUGGCGAACGGGUGAGUAACACGUGAGUAACCUGCCCUUGACUUCGGGAUAACUCCGGGAAACCGGGGCUAAUACCGGAUAUGAGCCGCCUUCGCAUGGGGGUGGUUGGAAAGUUUUUCGGUCAGGGAUGGGCUCGCGGCCUAUCAGCUUGUUGGUGGGGUGAUGGCCUACCAAGGCGACGACGGGUAGCCGGCCUGAGAGGGCGACCGGCCACACUGGGACUGAGACACGGCCCAGACUCCUACGGGAGGCAGCAGUGGGGAAUAUUGCACAAUGGGCGAAAGCCUGAUGCAGCGACGCCGCGUGAGGGAUGAAGGCCUUCGGGUUGUAAACCUCUUUCAGCAGGGAAGAAGCGCAAGUGACGGUACCUGCAGAAGAAGCGCCGGCUAACUACGUGCCAGCAGCCGCGGUAAUACGUAGGGCGCAAGCGUUGUCCGGAAUUAUUGGGCGUAAAGAGCUCGUAGGCGGUUUGUCGCGUCUGGUGUGAAAACUCGAGGCUCAACUUCGAGCUUGCAUCGGGUACGGGCAGACUAGAGUGCGGUAGGGGAGACUGGAAUUCCUGGUGUAGCGGUGGAAUGCGCAGAUAUCAGGAGGAACACCGAUGGCGAAGGCAGGUCUCUGGGCCGCAACUGACGCUGAGGAGCGAAAGCAUGGGGAGCGAACAGGAUUAGAUACCCUGGUAGUCCAUGCCGUAAACGUUGGGCACUAGGUGUGGGGCUCAUUCCACGAGUUCCGUGCCGCAGCAAACGCAUUAAGUGCCCCGCCUGGGGAGUACGGCCGCAAGGCUAAAACUCAAAGGAAUUGACGGGGGCCCGCACAAGCGGCGGAACAUGCGGAUUAAUUCGAUGCAACGCGAAGAACCUUACCAAGGCUUGACAUGCACGAA